Non-coding RNA from Phoenix dactylifera (date palm), 3071 nucleotides. NCBI's taxonomy places the organism in Eukaryota, Viridiplantae, Streptophyta, Magnoliopsida, Arecales, Arecaceae. The record is from RefSeq and is a predicted model, not a curated record.
AGAAUUCAAAUUUCUAUGUAGUUGUUUGUAUUUCGCUUUUACACCAAUUUUUUCUUUUCUUAACUCCGAAUUACCUAGACUUAAUCUAGCCCACUAUUUGAACUAAACCAGGAGUGACCUUGAACCAUACUUAUGACUACAGAAAAGAAAAAGGAAAAAGAAAAGGAUGUCUGUAUUUUGAAUGCUGCUCUGGUCUUUAAGCCCUUCAAAGGCAUGAUAACCUGGUCAAUACAAGCCUUUUUCUAUAACAAGUGAUGUCUUACUGUAGCACCUAAAAAAUCAUGUAUGCAUUAACUAGAAAAAUUUCUCAAGUUAUAUUUGGGCUAAGUUAUACUUGAAAUACCAAAAUAACUAAGAACUAAUAUAAACACCUUCAUGUGAAGCCUCUAGAGUUAUAUAAAAUUAGAGUAACGAGUACUUAAAACCAUAGUUGUCGAAUCUCGAGCAGUUGCAAGAGCAUGUAGUGUGCUAGUACGAUGAAGCAAAUAUUUUAAGAACAUUGAAGGAAACAAGUGCUUAGGAAUUGGGUGGGGAUUUAGGCUUCUAGAGAGUUUCCAAAGCAAGUAUAAUACCCUAAGAUAGGGCUAGCAUUUGGCUUUUAGGUUUCAACUCACUCUCCUUUCAUUCCAUGGUGAUCCUCCUUGUUAGUUGCUCAUUUGUCUUAUAUCUACAUAUGAUCUGAUGGGGGAGAAGGAAGAAUUACCUCAAUCCGCUUAACACGAAUCUCUCAAUUUUUUUUUGGAAAAGAUGAAAAAAAUGGUGAAAUUAGGGUUUAGGUCUCCUUUUCAUUCAUUGGUUAUUGAUUAAAAAAUUGAAGUGCAUAACCUUUAUUUAUAAUAGUAAGGUUCACCCUUGCACCAUUCGGGUCGAAUUUCUCUCCUAGUGUGAACGGGACUAGUUUGCUAAAAAUAAACAUGAUUAGUAUAAAUAAACACGAAAAAAAAAGCUAAAAUCCUACAAGGGGUAGAUCUCGACUCCUACAUUAACUGUCUUUUGUCGCUCUAACUAAUACUCUCUGGAUUAGGAGAUAGGCCCCGAUUAAAAUCUUUCCGAAAAGAAAAUUUUCCGUUUGAUCGGCCCGUUUCAAGGACCAAAUGAUGGAAUUUUGGCCCAUUUCAAACACCAAAGGGGUUGACGCUACAUCGAGGAUCUUGGAAGGCUUCCCAAUUUUGGAAAAAAUAAAAAAUCUUAAUCGGGUAUCAUAUGACCAAAUUAUGAGCUUCGAAAAUUUGGUGCACGAUUCAGCUUCCUAAUGUGGAAAAUCUCACUUUUGGAUCCUGUCUUGCCUUACUUGCAGUAGUCAAAGUGGUUCAUAUCAAAUCCGAUGAUCCUCCUAGAUCUCUAUAAGUUUUCUUAUUGGUUUUAGAAAAUAUGAUGGGGACAUCUAAUACAUAGUCUCUCGCAACUAGCUGUCCAAAUAAGCCCAAUGGACCACCAUCACCACCACCCUAAAGAAAAGAAUCCAACUCUCUCUAAAAGGACUGGCAUAUGGCAGUAGCAAAUUUCUAGGUUGCUUGAGGGAAUAUAAAUAUUUGUCAUUAGAUUUUUUCCCAUUAUUCUACCUAUGAUAAGAUUUGACUGAAGAUAAGUACCUUGAACUUAUCGGAUGUGGUCAUCCUUUUAUUUUAGGAAAAAAACUUGGGAAACCAGUAUGUUCCUUUGAAAGUGGAAGUCAGCCUCACUAAAACUGUUUAUGCAUAAAUGGCAUUUCAGCUUGCUAUAAAUCAAGUACAAAUGCCAGAUGAAAGCAUAUUAUAUGGCCUAGGAACUUUAGUCAGUAAUAGUCUAGGAAGAUACUAUUUUUUUUAUUUUACCAUGGUUCGACAAAAAACUAUUUUAUAACCCAGAAGCUUCUUCAUUGUCAUCCCUAUAACAAAGCCUCCAAAUGAAAGGAAAUGGGAUAUACUAUGCUCUUGGAAGUGGAAAAGCAAGCUAUUGGACUGGCCGGCUUCCUGUAAUAAAAGUGAAGGUACUUAUUGUAGCUUGUUUCCCUCUAGACCUUUGUUACCUUAACAGAGAGCAUGGAGGUUGAGUUGUCAGCUUUUAGGAAGCGGUUGCGGAAGCAAUAUUCCAAAGAGAUUCUAAAAUGGGGCUGGCACCAUAAGAACUUUUCGGAUACAAAGUUAUAGAUCUAUCUUUGUUUCUCAAAGAUUACUCGAGUCAUAUUUUUUAUGUAUUGUUUUGAUUACAUCAUAUACUAAACUAACUAGUAGGGUAUAUGACAAAUUAUGACUCUUCAAAAGAUCAAGCUGAUUAAAAAAAGAUACUUAAUGUUCCAUAACCUAUAUUGUCAAUGAUAAGAUGAAAAUGUUACCAUAAGAUAUUUUCAACUAUAUUAAUUUGUUUCCAAGUGUAAUAUCCAUAAUAAUUUUAAAAAACAUUUAAAUUUUGGUUAAAUGAUUUUAGUUAAUAAUUUAUAUUUGUUUGAGAGAUUUAAGUCUCUUCACCUGACAUCCAAAAACUCUAUAGAUUGUCCUUGUUGAACCCACAGUAACCCAAAUCUGAUAAAAUGAUGUUAAGUCAUGCAUUGGGGUGAUAGACAAUCAAAAUAAAAAAUCAUAAAGAAUAAAAGAGAAAAAAAAAACUACUGUCUUAUUCAAAAUCAUCAUGCACUGUGAAUCUUAAUUUAUGCUCUUAUAUAGAGCGUAACGACCUAUAAUCCAUAUUAUUGAGUAAAUUAUGUAAGGUUGACAAUUGAAAAUGCAUAAAAAGAUCCGCAGAUAAUUCUGUGAAACCCCAAUGUUUUCUUCACCUUUGAUCAUUAUAAAUCAUAUAAUGUUGACCAUUAAAUAUGUGUUAACGAGCUUGUUCAAAAUUUUAGCAUUGACAGGCAUCUGUAGAACCAAUGUUUCUCAUGCUGACUCGUUGGGGUGAUUCCAGAAUCAGCCUUUCAUCAAGGAAAUUUCUGUGUUCAGUUUUACAUAUUGUUUGUUUCGUGUUCUAGUAGUUGCUGUAUGUUGAAUUAGAUGUAUAGCAAAUUAUGUGAAUCUAACGUAUGCAAGAGAGGAGAAAUAUGAUGAAUGAUACUACCCUUAUAAAGUUAGAAAUGAGACAAGUUCAGAAAUUUACAA